Molecule: ribosomal RNA, 886 nt
Filed under: uncultured euryarchaeote
Lineage: Archaea; Methanobacteriati; Methanobacteriota
Description: bacterial SSU rRNA
Rfam family: Archaeal small subunit ribosomal RNA
Source: RNAcentral
CUGGCGGCCACCGCUAUAGGAAUUCGAUUAAAGAACAUGCGAGUCGAGAGUCUUCGGGACUCGGCGGACUGCUCAGUAACACGUGGAUAACAUGCCCUUAGGAGGGGGAUAAUCUCGAGAAAUUGAGGAUAAUACCCCAUAGGCCAUGAAUGCUGGAAUGCUUUAUGGCCCAAAGCUCCGGCGCCUAAGGAUUGGUCUGCGGCCUAUCAGGUUGUAGUGGGUGUAACGGACCCACUAGCCUAUGACGGGUAUGGGCCUUGAGAGAGGGAGCCCAGAGAUGGACUCUGAGACACGAGUCCAGGCCCUACGGGGCGCAGCAGUCGCGAAACCUUCACACUGGGGGAAACCCUGAUGAGGGAAUUCCUAGUGCCUGCAUUUUUUGUAGGCUUUUAUCUAGUGUAGAUAGCUAGAAGAAUAAGGGCCGGGUAAGACGGGUGCCAGCCGCCGCGGUAAUACCCGCGGCCCAAGUGGUGGUCGAUAUUAUUGAGUCUAAAACGUCCGUAGCCGGUUCAGUAAAUCUUUGGGUAAAUCGGCCAGCUUAACUGACCGAAUUCCGAAGAGACUGCUGAACUUGGGACCGGGAGAGGCCAGAGGUACUUCUGGGGUAGGGGUAAAAUCCUGUAAUCCUAGAAGGACCACCGGUGGCGAAGGCGUCUGGCUAGAACGGAUCCGACGGUGAGGGACGAAGCCCUGGGGCGCAAACGGGAUUAGAUACCCCGGUAGUCCAGGGUGUAAACGCUGCAGGCUUGGUGUUGGGGGUCCUUCGGGGGCGCCCAGUGCCGGAGAGAAGUUGUUAAGCCUGCUACUUGGGGAGUACGUCCGCAAGGAUGAAACUUAAAGGAAUUGGCGGGRGMRCACCGCARCSKKMGGAGCGUGCGGUUUAUUG